RNAcentral lists this unclassified non-coding RNA (318 nucleotides) under Hevea brasiliensis (rubber tree). The record is from RNAcentral. Lineage: Eukaryota; Viridiplantae; Streptophyta; Magnoliopsida; Malpighiales; Euphorbiaceae.
ACCUAUAUCCCUAGCAUCAACCCUAAAAAUGAAAUCAAUUUGAACCUUGGAUAAGGGAUAGAUCAUGUCAUGAUCUAAUAUUCACGAUAUAGCAAAAUUUACAAAAAUUAAAGAUAAUAAAUUGAAGCCACAUGGAUAAUGCCGGUUGUUCCCCAAAGGAAAAGAAUUUAUGAGCAAUGAAUCUCACCAUUGAAGCAGAACCAAAAAAUAAAGGAAAUAAAAACAAGAAUUAUAUCUAUAAGAGAUGAAAAAUAAAGCAAGCAAAGGUGUGUGCAAAUGAAAUGAAGUAAAUCAAGGGGGGCAAUCAUUUAACAAGCA